This 759-nucleotide ribosomal RNA is filed under the name uncultured bacterium. RNAcentral's name for it is "bacterial SSU rRNA". It matches the Rfam family "Bacterial small subunit ribosomal RNA", at positions 172 to 916 of the family's 1533-position model. The record is from RNAcentral.
CAUAACAACAAAAGCCACAUGGCUUUUGUUUGAAAGAUGGCUUUGGCUAUCACUCUGGGAUGGACCUGCGGUGCAUUAGCUAGUUGGUAAGGUAACGGCUUACCAAGGCGAUGAUGCAUAGCCGAGUUGAGAGACUGAUCGGCCACAAUGGAACUGAGACACGGUCCAUACUCCUACGGGAGGCAGCAGUAGGGAAUCUUCCACAAUGGGCGCAAGCCUGAUGGAGCAACACCGCGUGAGUGAAGAAGGGUUUCGGCUCGUAAAGCUCUGUUGUUGGAGAAGAACGUGCGUGAGAGUAACUGUUCACGCAGUGACGGUAUCCAACCAGAAAGUCACGGCUAACUACGUGCCAGCAGCCGCGGUAAUACGUAGGUGGCAAGCGUUAUCCGGAUUUAUUGGGCGUAAAGCGAGCGCAGGCGGUUGCUUAGGUCUGAUGUGAAAGCCUUCGGCUUAACCGAAGAAGUGCAUCGGAAACCGGGCGACUUGAGUGCAGAAGAGGACAGUGGAACUCCAUGUGUAGCGGUGGAAUGCGUAGAUAUAUGGAAGAACACCAGUGGCGAAGGCGGCUGUCUGGUCUGCAACUGAUGCUGAGGCUCGAAAGCAUGGGUAGCGAACAGGAUUAGAUACCCUGGUAGUCCAUGCCGUAAACGAUGAGUGCUAGGUGUUGGAGGGUUUCCGCCCUUCAGUGCCGGAGCUAACGCAUUAAGCACUCCGCCUGGGGAGUACGACCGCAAGGUUGAAACUCAAAGGAAUUGACGG